UACGUAGGGUGCGAGCGUUUGUCCGGAAUUAUUGGGCGUAAAGAGCUCGUAGGCGGCUUGUUGCGUCGGCUGUGAAAACCCAUGGCUCAACCGUGGGCUUGCAGCCGAUACGGGCAGGCUAGAGUUCGGUAGGGGAGACUGGAAUUCCUGGUGUAGCGGUGAAAUGCGCAGAUAUCAGGAGGAACACCGGUGGCGAAGGCGGAUCUCUGGGCCGAUACUGACGCUGAGGAGCGAAAGCGUGGGGAGCGAACAGG
Molecule: ribosomal RNA, 254 nt
Filed under: uncultured bacterium
Lineage: Bacteria
Description: partial 16S ribosomal RNA
Rfam family: Bacterial small subunit ribosomal RNA
Source: RNAcentral